UUAAAAAUCACCCGCAUAAUCGAAAACCGUACAACUAAUCGUCUGAAUUAUUUGAUUCUGAUUACACUAAUAGUCACGAAUAAUUUCGCGUCUUCGCUUAUUGCGUCUUGUCUUGGGAUGAUAAAAAAGGAUUUCCGAAAGAUAAGAUUAAUGAUCAAGAAAAAUAAUCUUUUCGUGCUUUUGGUGUAAUGUGUCUUCGCUGCUGCUGUCGUCACGUAAGGAAAAAUAAAUACGAGGCAUUUGCGGACCCGCACGAUUCUGGAAAACCGGAAAAACCUUCGUGAUUAGGCCAGAAAAUCCUUAAAUGGCAAUAACCGGAAUUGAUAAUAAUCUCACCAAGGUCGACAACAACUUCAGCGUUGAAGCUUGACAAAGUAUCGAGAAUAAACUUUUAUUCGACCGGAAAAACACGGGAGCAGUUCCAGCGCUAAACAACUUCGUCAACAGCAGCAGCGGUAAACAUCAUUCUGGUGAGAAAAAAACUUGUUCAGUUCCUCAACGAUGAUUCAGACCACAGACACCAGCAGCUACCGAUUAUAACGCCAUUACCACCGUCAAUGGCAACAGCAGCACCGCCAAAUAUAACAUCAGCCGGAAGCGUUCCCUAGCACCACAACCCGUUUUCCGGUGGGAGAUAACUAACAAUAUACUCCGCGGAAAAAUAAGUGCUGCAGUCAAAUCAAGUUGAGUCAGAAAAAAAACCCGAAGCCUUUGAACCAGUGAGAUCCCGGAAAAGUAAUGAAGCUCGACAAAGUACAGGAUGCAAUGAAAAACUCCAUCAUCCGGUCGGACAAAUAACGGAGCAGAUUCAGCGCCAAAAAGAUGAACAUUCUGCCGGAACAACCAGUAUUACUUCAUCACCAGCUGCAGAACGAUUGCGACAACCUACAUCAACCGCCGCUUAUCGUACCGCUAUCACCACCACCAGCGUCAACAGCAGCACUACCAAAUCUAACAUCAGACAUUCGUCGGAAGCGUUAAUUUGCAUCACUGCCCGCUUUCCGGCGGAAGAAACCAUCAACGCAGCAGCAGCUACCAUUCUCGUCUGUACCGCAAGAAACGAAUCAGUUUAGCAGCAACAGCGGCCAGUUCAGCAUCUGCCUCGAGGAGUCAAUUUUCUUUUCCCACAACAGAAGCGCACCAGACGGCGGUUGGAAAAUAGAAGUUCCCUCACAAAAUCUUUCGCGCAACCGGUCAUUGCGCAAGCAAACGGAACCAGCAUCGAAAACAACAAAAAUUCUCGCUGGUGGUAACUACAGGAUUAGCACGAAAGGAGCACACUCUGAUGUUUGAACCAAUACCACAUAGGAUCCCCCGUAAUCAGCCCAUUUAGUGAUAUUUUGCCCGCAGAAUCUUCUGGCUGAUAGUGAACUGGAAAAAGGUCGAAAAAUUUGUUCCGGGUCCGAUGAUAGAACUGUCCCCGGAUGAUGGGGUAUGUUGAAGUAGUGUCCAGGUGGGCAACUUGUAGUUCCUGUACAGCGAUUUAGUUUUUGCACUUUAAGAUCUGGUAUUGAAGACUAACCCUGUUGAUUUGAAAAAGAUUUGGAAAAAAAUUUUCCCCCGCGAAAUACUUGCAACACCGUGCACUGGGCCGAAGGAAUCAGUGUGACGUGGCAAAAAAAAAACGAUGGCAACAUCUGCAAUGCAAUGUCAACGAGAAGCUGUGACAAACCUGGACCAAAAUUGGAGGAAUCGGUAUGUGAAUCGUGGAUCGUCGCCAGACUGACUAUUUAGUCUUUUUCGUGGAUGAGAUGGGACAAAGAAGUUUACAAGAAAUGCCAGCUUAAACAACAAAGAAUUUUAUCGAAUGUGGACUUGAUGAUUAAAAAACCAACAAUAGAAACAUCACCUUCGGCUCAACAGAAACGAUAUUUUCAGCACCAUUAACGGGAUAUUAAAACCCUUUAAUCGCCUUGUUCUCUUCCGGCUAAGAUUGACAAAAAAGUUGCCAACAAAUUAAGAAACUGGAGCCAGUUGUGCUGGUAAAUCCAGGAGCUGGAAACAUUUGGUGGCCAAUUAAUGAAAUCGAAAAGGUUUUGGCUAAGCGGUUCAAUUGUCGCCGUAAGGAGCAAGAAUCUGGCGAAAUGACUGCCCCUGGCCAGCGGCACCGAACAAAGCCCUCGGCACCGGCAUUUCCCAGAAGUUGCAGGAUCUUUCCUGCCACAUCGACAGGUCGCCUCAGAGUCCGACCAGGAAAAUAAUACUUGUGGGGACGCUUUCCACAAAUGAUGGUGCGGGUGGCUGCAUCGGAAGCAGCAUGGGAUGAAUCAAUGGGAGCCUUGGGCUAACUUCCGGAAUUGGUUCAAGCAGUAGUAAAGGUGGCGAUUCCGGUUUAGAUCACUUUCCAAAGAAACGUAAAGAUGAUUUAGCUAUAUCUGAUAGCACAGCAUUAUAUCAUAAGUAAACAAUAGGACAUAUAGAUAAUGACGAUACACAAUUUUGAUUUGGAAUUGAAUAGAUUAUUUUGUUUUCAGUGUAGGUACUAUUGACACAUUUGCUUUAACACUAACUGCUUUAGUAAAUAGUGACAUAACAAUAACCAUAACGUUAUCAAUCAACCCGUAAAUAGGUAUGAAUUAUUUAUUUAAACCUUGAACGAAAGAAUUUGAUUGUUUGAAUCAAAAAACGAAACAGAAUCGAACUGAUAACAACUACGCGGAAUAGCAGCGUCUAGAAGUUAGUGAAAGGGAAAGCGGAGUUGGAGAUGCGUUAACAAAGAAUUGUACAGAAACUUGUAGGGAUUUCAAUGAAAAGUCAAAAACAAAGAUAAAAAAAGAAACGUGUUAUUCAGAGCUGAAGUAAAAACAUCUAUCAGCAACAAGUAACAAAAGGAAUAAAUAAGAAUAUUUUUUCAUACUAGAAAAAUCACAAAAUAGAAUACUGCAAGUAAAAUUCUACAAAAACAUGGAGUAGUACAGUCGCUUAUAAGACUUUUUGUUCAGCACCAAUUUAUGACUUAGAUGCUUGUUCCGCAGUGGAGAGACAAGAAUCGCGAAACUCUACCACAAAAAAUAAAUGAUAAAUAAUCUGAAAACAUCAGUAUUGUUUUGACAAGUGAGAUGAAUUAAAAAAAUUGCUGAAAUGCAAAUUUUUAGGGAUUUCAGAAGUAACCUCUUUGUUUGCAUCAUAUGAUUAGACAUUAUUAUCUGUAAUAUUUAUGUUAUGUUAAAUUGAUUGUUUACAUAUUAUAUUCAAUAAUCAAAUACAAGUUUUGUAAUCAAAUCUGUAAUGUAAUAAUACAGUAAUCGAAUGCCAUACGUUAAGAAAUAAAAUAAUCUCUAAUUAGGUA
This is a long non-coding RNA of Uranotaenia lowii, 3289 nucleotides long. RefSeq lists it as uncharacterized. The record is from RefSeq and is a predicted model, not a curated record. Lineage: Eukaryota; Metazoa; Arthropoda; Insecta; Diptera; Culicidae. The transcript is spliced from 6 exons.